UACGACAUGGUGUAAUAAGUAGCACAGAGAAUUUUGGGUUCUCAGGGGUAGGUUCAAUUCCCAUAGUUCUAG
Transfer RNA from Gorilla gorilla gorilla (western lowland gorilla), 72 nucleotides. It matches the Rfam family "tRNA". Rfam says of the family: Transfer RNA (tRNA) molecules are approximately 80 nucleotides in length. Their secondary structure includes four short double-helical elements and three loops (D, anti-codon, and T loops). Further hydrogen bonds mediate the characteristic L-shaped molecular structure. tRNAs have two regions of fundamental functional importance: the anti-codon, which is responsible for specific mRNA codon recognition, and the 3' end, to which the tRNAs corresponding amino acid is attached (by aminoacyl-tRNA synthetases). tRNAs cope with the degeneracy of the genetic code in two manners: having more than one tRNA (with a specific anti-codon) for a particular amino acid; and 'wobble' base-pairing, i.e. permitting non-standard base-pairing at the 3rd anti-codon position. NCBI's taxonomy places the organism in Eukaryota, Metazoa, Chordata, Mammalia, Primates, Hominidae. The record is from Rfam.